This 253-nucleotide ribosomal RNA is filed under the name uncultured bacterium. RNAcentral describes it as "partial 16S ribosomal RNA". It matches the Rfam family "Bacterial small subunit ribosomal RNA", at positions 524 to 776 of the family's 1533-position model. The record is from RNAcentral.
UACGAAGGGGGCUAGCGUUGCUCGGAAUCACUGGGCGUAAAGCGCACGUAUGCGGCUUUUUAAGUCAGGGGUGAAAUCCUGGGGCUCAACUCCAGAACUGCCUUUGAUACUGAGAAGCUUGAGUCCGGGAGAGGUGAGUGGAACUGCGAGUGUAGAGGUGAAAUUCGUAGAUAUUCGCAAGAACACCAGUGGCGAAGGCGGCUCACUGGCCCGGUACUGACGCUGAGGUGCGAAAGCGUGGGGAGCAAACAGG